GCAAGACUGACGACGGAGUAAGCGGAAGUUGUGGCAUGGACAACAACGACCUUGAAAGGUGAAUUGGAGCCCGGAGGGGGAGUGAAGAAGUGAUCAAAUGUCCACUCCAAAGCGUAUGUACUGUGCUGGCUAUCAUCGAUCCCAACAACCAUCACUUGCUCCUCUUCUAAGGCUGCCAUUUUUUAUACUGCUAUUUGCCCGUCCGUCCCUCUUCUCUGUUUAUAUCGAGAAUUAAGUUGCAGACCUAUAGUUGACUUCUCUUGGAUUGGUGAGUAAUGGCAACCUUCAGAAAAUCCCAAGCAGAGACGAUUACUAUGAGUAUUUAAAUAAAUGGACUCGAGCCAAGACAAAACCAUGAUUGGAACGGGUGACCAUCCAAUCCCUGAAGCCGGAUCAAUCGAGGAGACGAUGUCGUUUGAAAUACGCAACGACCAACGGAGAUAUUAUCCAAUAAUUGAGGUUGAAGGACUCGGCGGGGAGAUACCAAAGAUUUUUGCCAUUAACGUGAGAGAUUGCUAUUAAUAAAACUCGAAUAAGUCGAAGAUUCAACCAAUCUCGGUGUGAGUCAAUGUAUUUAUUCACUCGAAUAAUGAACAAACCUUUAAAAUGUUG
Molecule: long non-coding RNA, 612 nt
Filed under: Populus trichocarpa (black cottonwood)
Lineage: Eukaryota; Viridiplantae; Streptophyta; Magnoliopsida; Malpighiales; Salicaceae
Description: long non-coding RNA (PTRI_LNC004610)
Source: RNAcentral